Molecule: ribosomal RNA, 497 nt
Filed under: uncultured bacterium
Lineage: Bacteria
Description: partial 16S ribosomal RNA
Rfam family: Bacterial small subunit ribosomal RNA
Source: RNAcentral
GAUGAACGCUGGCGGCGUGCCUAAUACAUGCCAGUCGAGCGAACAGAUAAGGAGCUUGCUCCUUUGACGUUAGCGGCGGACGGGUGAGUAACACGUGGGUAACCUACCUAUAAGACUGGAAUAACUCCGGGAAACCGGGGCUAAUGCCGGAUAACAUUUAGAACCGCAUGGUUCUAAAGUGAAAGAUGGUUUUGCUAUCACUUAUAGAUGGACCCGCGCCGUAUUAGCUAGUUGGUAAGGUAACGGCUUACCAAGGCAACGAUACGUAGCCGACCUGAGAGGGGGAUCGGCCACACUGGAACUGAGACACGGUCCAGACUCCUACGGGAGGCAGCAGUAGGGAAUCUUCCGCAAUGGGCGGAAACCUGACGGAGCAACGCCGCGUGAGUGAUGAAGGUCUUCGGAUCGUAAAACUCUGUUAUUAGGGAAGAACAAAUGUGUAAGUAACUGUGCACGUCUUGACGGUACCUAAUCAGAAAGCCACGGCUAACUACGUG